AGCUACCAACAUCUCUUUUCCCCCAAGCCUUAUUUCUUUAGCUCUGGCUUAGCUCCUGUAACCAAGUCGGCUAAGUAAGUCCAUGCAGUUUUUGGAUAGUUUGAAGUUGGUGUAUGAGGUUGCAUUUCAGAGGGAGCUGUUUCCGGGUGGUGCACGGUGGUGUCGUCUUUGUUUUCCUGAACAGGAGACUGCUGGAUUUGUUUCUCUUCCACGGCACAUGUCACGUUCAUCAUGAGAUCUCCUCUAGAGCAGUGAUGAGCUAUUUCAUCGAGUGUCAUUAGCUCCUCUAACAGCCAUCUUCACUGAGAGAAGUCAAACACACGUACGGAGUUGAAUAUUAGAGGACUGCCGGACACCCAGCUGGUCUGUGGAGACAACCUGCCCAAGGAGAGCCAGAGCCAGGGGUUCAACACAGCAGGAGGAGGUGGGAGACAGCAAGUCACUGGCCUACAACAACCAGAUACAGGAAGUGACAUCAGAACCCAGUAUAGGGGAAGGCCAACCGCAAAAGGACAAGGGGGCUGGCCUCCGAGGUAACCAGGAGACGUCUGCAGCACUGGAGGAGGGGGGCCGACAGAGAAUGGAGGGCCAGGUGUGUGUGGGGAAUGGUAGGAUGUCAUUUUGGAUUUUGUUCAAUUCUAUUAUUUCUGUUCAAGUUUUUUGAUAAUAAGUAACAGGAGAGGCAUAAACUGCCAGUUACUCAUACAGUGCAAAACAGUUCCUAUGUGCUUCCAUGAACAAAGAAAAGAAAAGACAGUGUCCAACCAAAGUUAUUUCUUAUAGUUUAGGAAAAAAUACUUUCUCUGGAAUUCCCACCUUUGUAGUUAUAGUAUCUAUUGACACUUGCUGAAUAGAAUUUGGCACUCUGAGUCAGUUGAGCGAUACAGUAUACCACUAAAGCCUCAUGAGUAAAAUGAGAUGCAUAUCUUAUCCAACAAUGCAUGGUCUUGGUUUCCUGAAGGGUUAAAUAGAUAGGAUCACCCACGCCCUCUAUGUUAUUACUGUACCAGCCUGAGCCUUAGUGAAUAGCAGAGUUGAAGGCUCACACAUGAAUAGGGCACGGAAACUACAUUGUACUACACUAAACAUACCUACAUUCAAGUGUGUGUAUGCUGUAUGCGUGCAUGUACUUUAUGAGUGUAUGUAUGUGUGUGUGUGUUUAGGUGUGUGUGCGUGUGCGUGUGUGUGCGAGUGUAUGCACGCUUGUGUGUGUGUGUUUUAAUCCAUAUUUCUGGGUGUGGAAGGUGUGUGUUUGGAGGAGAGGUGCCUCAGUGGGAGCAGGAGGUCAUCCCCCAGGGUGGUGUUGUUACUACCGUACCCAGAGAGAGAGAGGGACAGAGGAGCCUAGGGGCCCGGGGUCCUUCUUUUUCUUUGAAGGAGUCACUCCCCUAUACCAAUGAUAUGACAUUUUAAGACAAUUCAAC
Molecule: long non-coding RNA, 1424 nt
Organism: Oncorhynchus tshawytscha (Chinook salmon)
Lineage: Eukaryota; Metazoa; Chordata; Actinopteri; Salmoniformes; Salmonidae
Source: Ensembl